GGCCUCGCCGGGCGGGUCUUCGCCAGGGCCGUUCUAGGCGUCAUAGUGCACCCCCCGUUCCAGGCGGGGCAAGGCCA
RNAcentral lists this transfer RNA (77 nucleotides) under Thermus thermophilus. RNAcentral's name for it is "tRNA-Pyl". The record is from RNAcentral. Lineage: Bacteria; Thermotogati; Deinococcota; Deinococci; Thermales; Thermaceae.